Molecule: long non-coding RNA, 216 nt
Filed under: Cicer arietinum (chickpea)
Lineage: Eukaryota; Viridiplantae; Streptophyta; Magnoliopsida; Fabales; Fabaceae
Description: long non-coding RNA (CARI_LNC001052)
Source: RNAcentral
UGACAGCAAGAAUCCAGAUCCAACAAACUCUAGGAAAGACAUAGUCCAAAUUGUGUUGCUUGACCUUGUCAAUGUGUUCAUACAGUCCAGUAUCAGCCACUCACAUCCAGACACAUAACUAUACUAAUUUAUAAUCAAUAAACCAACAACAACAAGGAUAUCUUGUAAUAUUCUCUAUGUGAGUUUCUAACGCAGAAAUAUCAAUAAAUCCAACAG